AACGAACGCUGGCGGCAUGCCUAACACAUGCAAGUCGAACGAGACCUUCGGGUCUAGUGGCGCACGGGUGCGUAACGCGUGGGAACCUGCCCUUAGGUUCGGAAUAACUCCCCGAAAGGGGUGCUAAUACCGGAUAAUGUCUUCGGACCAAAGAUUUAUCGCCUUUGGAUGGGCCCGCGUUGGAUUAGCUAGUUGGUAGGGUAAAAGCCUACCAAGGCGACGAUCCAUAGCUGGUCUGAGAGGAUGAUCAGCCACACUGGGACUGAGACACGGCCCAGACUCCUACGGGAGGCAGCAGUGGGAAAUAUUGGACAAUGGGCGAAAGCCUGAUCCAGCAAUGCCGCGUGAGUGAUGAAGGCCUUAGGGUUGUAAAGCCCUUUUACCCGGGAUGAUAAUGACAGUACCGGGAGAAUAAGCUCCGGCUAACUCCGUG
This 433-nucleotide ribosomal RNA is filed under the name uncultured bacterium. Its description in RNAcentral is "partial 16S ribosomal RNA". It matches the Rfam family "Bacterial small subunit ribosomal RNA", at positions 29 to 507 of the family's 1533-position model. The record is from RNAcentral.